AUUUGUGACAAUGCCACUUUGAAAGCACGACAUCUCGUCGGGUCUGUCAAGUUAAGCAACGUUGGGCCUGGUUAGUACUUGGAUCGGAGACGGCCUGGGAAUCCCAGGUGUUGUAGACA
Molecule: non-coding RNA, 119 nt
Organism: Brugia malayi
Lineage: Eukaryota; Metazoa; Nematoda; Chromadorea; Rhabditida; Onchocercidae
Source: Rfam